This is a long non-coding RNA of Bombus impatiens (common eastern bumble bee), 1079 nucleotides long. RefSeq lists it as uncharacterized. The transcript is spliced from 2 exons. Lineage: Eukaryota; Metazoa; Arthropoda; Insecta; Hymenoptera; Apidae. The record is from RefSeq and is a predicted model, not a curated record.
AUUAUACGAAUUGUAAAUGCAUGACGAGAAGAUUGCAGCGUCACUAAAUCCUUGUCAACAAUUUUUUGUUUUCACGAGAGCUUUACAGUACCAGACGCGUGCACACGAAUUUUGGUCUGUCACAAGCAUUUUCGAAUAAUUAUAAAAUGAAUGUAGUUUAUAAGUAAGAAACGAACAUUCGCAGUAUAAUUCUUUCAGAUAGAUUGUAUUACAUUUAGAAUCUUAUAAAUAUUUGUCAAUAUCAGGAAAUAAGUUACAAAGCACAAAUAAUAUUUCAAAUAUAUUCUAUUUCCGUAAUAUAUUUUUUUAUUGAUGAGUAAAUUAAUUAGAAACAGCAGUAUUUUCCGAAAAAACGCUCACUUCCCCCAUCCUUCUCUGUUAAUGCAGUUUUACUUUCGGAAAUUUUUUGUCACCGGAUGCAAUGCGGUCUUAGAGUCAGUGUUUGCUAUGUAACGUUUUUAUAAUUUAAUAUUUUAUAAUUAGAUUUACUUUUACGUUUUCAAAGGCGUGCUUUGAUAAUGGGAUCGCCUAAGGACAUUGCUAUUAAUAUUUUAUAAUAUUCUAUUACACGUUAUGUUUGAAAAAAUUAUAUCUUUCCAACUUUUUAUCUAUUAAUCAAUUUUAUUUAAUCAAGUAACAAGCGCAGAUAUCUUCGUUUCAGAAUCACUUCUAUUCGUCAAAAUGAUAUUAAAUCAUUUGUGUUUACUCUCUAUACUUUUAUUUUUCAUCUCACUGCUCAGCCUAACGUAUUGUUUUUUGUUUUGAAACGUAAUAUGUCUAUUACUGAAAACAUAUCCUUUAGUGUAGGUGUUCCAGGAAUUUGACGAGUCCUAUUUGUGUAUGUAGGAAUAGUCGACAACUCUAGCCCCCUACUCCUCCAUAACCCAAACUCGUUGGGUAAAUCGCGGUGCGGGGUGUCAGUUUAACGUGGACAAUGAGAGGGAUUAGACGUAUAUCCAUCCAUGUCAUUUCGCGACAGGUGGCUUUGCACUUUGAUUACUAUUAUUUGAUUCCGAGAGAAGCUUUGAUGUAUUAGAGGGAUGCUGCGAAAUUCGAAAGGACGGGAUGAAAGCCAAAAG